AGCAGCCGCCGCGGUAACACGGAGGGGGCUAGCGUUGUUCGGAAUUACUGGGCGUAAAGCGCACGUAGGCGGCUUUGUAAGUUAGAGGUGAAAGCCUGGGGCUCAACUCCAGAAUUGCCUUUAAGACUGCAUCGCUUGAACGUCGGAGAGGUGAGUGGAAUUCCGAGUGUAGAGGUGAAAUUCGUAGAUAUUCGGAAGAACACCAGUGGCGAAGGCGGCUCACUGGACGACUGUUGACGCUGAGGUGCGAAAGCGUGGGGAGCAAACAGGAUUAGAGACCCCUGUAGUCCCUGUCUCUUAUAC
Molecule: ribosomal RNA, 303 nt
Filed under: uncultured bacterium
Lineage: Bacteria
Description: partial 16S ribosomal RNA
Rfam family: Bacterial small subunit ribosomal RNA
Source: RNAcentral